AUGACUUCCAAAAGACAAUACAUUGUAUAUCCAAAUAGGUCUUUGCAAAGGGGAAAUCAUGCUACCAACCUAUAUUCAAGAGGAAGAGUAAACUUUCCAUCAUCAAGCUGCAACUCAGAGAAUAACAUCACUGUUGGGAAGCCAGAAAACCGUGAAGUAACUCGCAACUGGAUUCUCUCGAUGCAUAAAAAUGCAGUCAAAGUUUCUGAAGUGGAAAUUUCUAUUCCUCCUAGUCUACACACAUCCCUAACUGAUUCUAAAGAAUCUUUGAUUACUUCAAUCAUGGAAGAAUGUGGCAAAGUACAUAUUCAUUUUCCAAGUACCAACUUGGGCCUUCAAAAAGUCCUUAUUAGAGGCCCUGCAGAAAGUGUUGAAAAGGUUAAGAAAAAACUUCUGCAACUUGCAGAAGAAGAACAGACAAAGAGUUACUCCGUGGAUGUCCCUGUACAGUCAAAAUAUCACCAAUUUCUUAUGAGUAAAAAUGGUGGCAACCUUCAUAAAAUCUGUGAGAAGACAGGGGCACAUAUCAUUUUCCCUACCUUUAAUAACAAGGAUCAAGAAUCAGUAACCAUCAUAGGGACAGAAGAGGCUGUUAAAGAUGUGCAAAAAGAGGUAGAGGUUUUACUGAAAGAUCUGGAGAAUGUGGUGGAGGACAGCAUAAUGAUCGAUCCCAAAUUCCAUAGUUAUUUUGUCAUGCAAAAGGGACAGCUUUUAAGAGAAAUGAUUAAGGAAUACGGUGGUGUGUUUAUUACCUUUACAUAUGCAGGAAAACAGAGUACAAAAGUCACAAUUAAAGGAGCAAAAGCUUGUGUUGAAGCAGCAAAGAAACAUAUUCAGGAGAUAUUUGAGCCCUUGGGUUCCCAAAUCACAACUCGGUGUAUUGUUCCCCCCAAAUUCCAUCCCUUUAUCAUGGGACCAAUAUGCUCUAGAAUUCAACAAAUUGCAAGAGAUUGUAAGGUUCAAAUCAAAUUUCCAGAAACAGAAAAACCAACUACAAACACACAUUCAGAGGCUCAGGAAACUGGGAAAGAAAAGGGGGGUAAGAACACUAAAGAGCCAGUUUCAACUGCUGCAAAAAAAAGUGACACCAUGUCUAUCUCAGGCAAAGGAGAAAAUUGCAAGGAGGCCACGCAAGCUGAGGAGUCUCUUGUUCCUGUCACUGCUGAAGUCCAAGUACCUUUUCACCUACACCCAUAUAUCAUUGGGCACAAAGGAAGUGGCUUACGCAAGCUAAUAAAGGAAUUUGAAGUUCAUAUUCAGGUAUCACAACCUGGAGGAAAUUUUCAUAUCAUAUCUAUUAUGGGCCUUGAAGCAAAUGUAGAACAAGCCAAGAUGAAAUUGCAAAAACAAGUAAAAGCUUUACAAAUGGAAAUGGAUGACCGGACAUUAAGAAAUUUUAGGCAAACAUUCAGUUUAGAUCCCAAAUAUCAUUCCAAGAUCUUUGGUAAUAAAGGUAUACUUAUUUCCCAGAUUUGCACAGAAUAUAAUGUUACUGUUCAUUUUCCAAAGAAAGGAGUCAAUCCAGCACAAGAUCAAAUUACCAUUUCGGGUUCUAAAGACAAUAUCCUAGGAGCUCGAGAUGCAAUAAUGAAAAUGCUGCGUAAGAUUGAAAAAACUGUUUCCAAGGAAAUCCCACUGAACCAUCAGGUUUGUGCCAAUAUUAUCGGAUUUGGUGGAAAAUCCAUCCACAAAAUCAUGGAACAAUUCCAAGUAGACAUCCGUGUACCUUCAAAAGGAAGCUGCAGUAAUUCUAGCAUCAUUGUGAGUGGAUCAUCUUGUAAUGUACAAGAUGCAAUUGACUAUAUCUUGACACUUGAGAAACAUUUCCUGUCUGUUGGAAAGUGUGAACAUCUACUGGAGCAUGUUAAGCGUGGUCCUGGUCACAUAGCUGCAAAACCAUCUAAGAGUGUUGGGAAACGAAAUGCUCUUCGUCAUGCAAAAUCCACCACACAUCCUCCACAUGUGGACAAUUCUGAAGAUUUUCCCAAAUUGAAACAUCAAGUGUCUCCUAAACCUCACCCUUGGAGACCAUAA
Non-coding RNA from Cricetulus griseus (Chinese hamster), 2034 nucleotides. Lineage: Eukaryota; Metazoa; Chordata; Mammalia; Rodentia; Cricetidae. The record is from RefSeq and is a predicted model, not a curated record.